UACGAAGGGGGCUAGCGUUGCUCGGAUUGACUGGGCGUAAAGGGCGCGUAGGCGGAUAGUACAGUCAGGCGUGAAAUUCCUGGGCUCAACCUGGGGGCUGCGUUUGAUACGUAUUGUCUGGAGUUCGGAAGAGGGUCGUGGAAUUCCCAGUGUAGAGGUGAAAUUCGUAGAUAUCAGGAGGAACACCCAUGGCGAAGGCAGCAAACUGGUCAUCAACUGACGCUGAGGCGCGAAAGCGUGGGUAGCAAACAGG
This 253-nucleotide ribosomal RNA is filed under the name uncultured bacterium. Its description in RNAcentral is "partial 16S ribosomal RNA". It matches the Rfam family "Bacterial small subunit ribosomal RNA", at positions 524 to 776 of the family's 1533-position model. The record is from RNAcentral.